RNAcentral lists this long non-coding RNA (1514 nucleotides) under Equus caballus (horse). RNAcentral describes it as "lncRNA (ENSECAG00000044070.1)". Lineage: Eukaryota; Metazoa; Chordata; Mammalia; Perissodactyla; Equidae. The record is from RNAcentral.
CAGCUAUGGACUCGAGCACAGUGCUGGGUAUAGACCUAUCUCCUGUGUUGUCUGGAGUGACACAUUUACAAACAAUGUCAAGUUUGUCCAUUAGGCCUCACUCAGCAUAGUCCACUACAAAUGUUCAAACCUUUACGUGGUUUGAGACUGUGAAGACAUAAUUUAUAAUUUAAUAUGGAAAUCAGUAACUCACUCCUGGAAAUUAAUCUGAAGAAGUUCUAUGAAUUAAUUUGUUUUCCACAUUAUUUAUUUUAAAAAGGGGGGAAAGUCUAAAUAAUUGACCAUAAGGAAUGAGUUAAGUAAAUGAUGAUGCAUCUACUUGAGCGAUUAUUAUCUCAUUUUUAAAGGGAUGAUUAUUUCAAAAUUUUGCAAAAUGAAGAAACGCUAAUGACAAUGUUAAAUUAGAAAAACAAACGUCAACCCUCAAAUUGUGGUUCAAAAUUGUGUUAGUCAGGAGAGGGUAGGUCACGCAGGAGUAAGAAACAACCUAAAAAUCUCAAUGGUUUAAGACAAUGAAAGUUUGUUUACGGCUCGCAAUUAGUCGGUUGCCUCUUGGGCAGGUUCUCCCCGCCUCCGUCCCGUGCAUCGUCCAUCUUUCUCGCCACUUUGUUGGAGCGCGGGAUGAAUGACGUCCUCGCGAAGCACCGUGCUAGCCAAUUACUGGAGUUUCUGCCUCCUCCUGUAGACACGUGGCUGUCCACAGUCAGAAAUCAUCAGACAUGUCAAGAUCAAACAUCAUGCAAAUCAGCAUUUAGAGGACAAGCAAAAACAAAGGAAGUCCUGCCCCGGAAAUGACUCCCAGUAUUAUGAGGGAGGCACUGCUGGUAAGGGAGUCUCUGCUCAGGUGGCACAAGCGCCAACGGGAAGCUUGGCUCAGCGCCUUCUCAUCUCCUCCGAGGCAGGGUGCCUGCUGAGAUCAGCCCGGGAUGACUCUGCCUGCAUAACCCAUCAUCCUGACAGCAGAGCUACAAUUUGUCUGACUCCAUGUCAUAGUUCAUCUUGUGCUGUCACUUUCAGUCCGGCCGCUAAUAUUACUCACGAGAGUCCAAGAGGGUUGAAGCUAAGAUCAUUGAUGACAGUUGUCCGGUUUCCUGCAGCACAAACACCUUGUGGAGGAGGGCAUUUGAUUGAAAAUCUCUUGCUCCAGCCCGGAAAGUUGCAAUGUAGGUAUAAUGGCUGAAGCUAGAGCAGCCAUUUUUCAAGAAUGAAAAUAAAAGGCAACACUCCACGGAUGACAAAAAGAAAAGAAACAAAGACCUGGAUCAUUGACGGCAUCAUUGAGCUUUCAAGCCAGACCUGAGAUUUCUUUUAACUACUGGACUUCUUGUAAAAAAAACAUAAUAAAUACCCUGACAGUUUAAGCCACCAUUGGACAAAUCUUUUGUUACUUAGUGCUGAGAAAAAUCCUAUAUGAAGGAGCUAUUAUUUAUUUCAUCAAAUCUAAGGUAUAAUAAAUUCAAAGUUGCAACAUUACUUUCUGAACCACUUGGAAGGAAAAAACCCGUGAAUUAAAC